AGUGAACGCUGGCGGUAGGCCUAACACAUGCAAGUCGAACGGCAGCACAGUAAGAGCUUGCUCUUACGGGUGGCGAGUGGCGGACGGGUGAGGAAUACAUCGGAAUCUACUUUUUCGUGGGGGAUAACGUAGGGAAACUUACGCUAAUACCGCAUACGACCUACGGGUGAAAGCAGGGGAUCUUCGGACCUUGCGCGAUUGAAUGAGCCGAUGUCGGAUUAGCUAGUUGGCGGGGUAAAGGCCCACCAAGGCGACGAUCCGUAGCUGGUCGGAGAGGAUGAUAGGGAAGAGUGGAACAGAGACAGGGAGAAGAGCACUGCGGGAGGCAGCAGAGGGGAAGAGUGGACAAGGGGCGAAAGUAUGAUACAGCCGUGGAGAGGGUGAGAAGAAGGUGUUGGGAUGGGAAAGCACGUUAAGGGGGGAGGAAGAGCAGGAAGGUAAUACCUUGCUGUUGUGACGGUACCAACAGAAGAAGCAACGGCUAACUUCGUG
Molecule: ribosomal RNA, 492 nt
Filed under: uncultured bacterium
Lineage: Bacteria
Description: partial 16S ribosomal RNA
Rfam family: Bacterial small subunit ribosomal RNA
Source: RNAcentral